AUUGAACGCUGGCGGCAGGCCUAACACAUGCAAGUCGAGCGGAUGAAGGGAGCUUGCUCCUGGAUUCAGCGGCGGACGGGUGGGUAAUGCCUAGGAAUCUGCCUGGUAGUGGGGGAUAACGUCCGGAAACGGGCGCUAAUACCGCAUACGUCCUGAUGGAGAACGUGGGGGAUCUUCGGACCUCACGCUAUCAGCUGAGCCUAGGUCGGAUUAGCUAGUUGGUAGGGUAAAGGCCUACCAAGGCGACGAUCCGUAACUGGUCUGAGAGGAUGAUCAGUCACACUGGAACUGAGACACGGUCCAGACUCCUACGGGAGGCAGCAGUGGGGAAUAUUGGACAAUGGGCGAAAGCCUGAUCCAGCAAUGCCGCGUGUGUGAAGAAGGUCUUCGGAUUGUAAAGCACUUUAAGUUGGGAGGAAGGGCAGUAAGUUAAUACCUUGCUGUUUUGACGUUACCAACAGAAUAAGCACCGGCUAACUUCGUG
This 484-nucleotide ribosomal RNA is filed under the name uncultured bacterium. RNAcentral describes it as "partial 16S ribosomal RNA". It matches the Rfam family "Bacterial small subunit ribosomal RNA", at positions 30 to 507 of the family's 1533-position model. The record is from RNAcentral.